CUUGAAUCCCUAUAAGAGGUCUAGCCUGCCCAGUGACUUUGUUCAACGGCCGCGGUAUCCUAACCGUGCGAAGGUAGCGUAAUCACUUGUCUUUUAAAUGAGGACUUGUAUGAAUGGCAUCACGAGGGUUAUACUGUCUCCUUUCUCUAAUCAGUGAAACUAAUCUUCCCGUGAAGAAGCGGGAAUAAAUAUAUAAGACGAGAAGACCCUAUGGAGCUUUAAACUCAAUAACAAAUACUAACCUCACUUUAACUUCCAGAACAUUGACACUAAUCCUAGUAUUAUGAUUAUUAGUUUUAGGUUGGGGUGACCGCGGAGUAAAAAUUAACCUCCACAUUGAACAGGACCUUUCCUUGAGCUAAGAGCUACAACUCUAAGCACCAACAAAUUGACAUUAAUUGACCCAAUAUUUUGAUCAACGAAC
RNAcentral lists this ribosomal RNA (424 nucleotides) under Hyla helenae. Its description in RNAcentral is "partial large subunit ribosomal RNA". It matches the Rfam family "Bacterial large subunit ribosomal RNA", at positions 1834 to 2439 of the family's 2925-position model. The record is from RNAcentral. Lineage: Eukaryota; Metazoa; Chordata; Amphibia; Anura; Hylidae. RNAcentral also lists the same sequence under 1 other name.